Molecule: long non-coding RNA, 238 nt
Filed under: Capsicum annuum
Lineage: Eukaryota; Viridiplantae; Streptophyta; Magnoliopsida; Solanales; Solanaceae
Description: long non-coding RNA (CANN_LNC021347)
Source: RNAcentral
UAUAAUGAUGUAUAGAUACCCGAUAAGGUCGGAGAAUACUAUGAUGAUAUAUGGAAUCCCGAUAAGGCCGUAGGUUGAUCAUGAUGAUGAUGGUCAUGAUGAUGGCACUUAUGAUGAGAUUAUUGAUAGUGAUUGUGUACCUAGCAUCCAUUCCUGCAUGUACAUUGCCUAUCACUAGUAUGCGCCAAUGUUUAUCAUACUGUAUGGGAUGACUACAUAGAUACGGGUGAAGAAUUUG